RNAcentral lists this ribosomal RNA (449 nucleotides) under Priolepis compita (crossroads goby). RNAcentral describes it as "partial small subunit ribosomal RNA". It matches the Rfam family "Bacterial small subunit ribosomal RNA", at positions 852 to 1491 of the family's 1533-position model. The record is from RNAcentral. Lineage: Eukaryota; Metazoa; Chordata; Actinopteri; Gobiiformes; Gobiidae.
AUUCCACUUUAUACACUCGCCAGGGAACAACGAGCCACAGCUUAAAACCCAAAGGACUUGGCGGUGCUUUAAACCCCUCUAGAGGAGCCUGUUCUAGAAUCGAUAAUCCCCGUUAAACCUCACCCUCUCUUGUUUUUUCCGCCUAUAUACCGCCGUCGUCAGCUUACCCUGUGAAGGUUUUAUAGUAAGCAAAAUUGGCACACCCCAGCACGUCAGGUCAAGGUGUAGCGUACGAGGGGGGAAGAAAUGGGCUACAUUUACUGAUUCAGUAAAUACGAACCUUGCACUGAAAUAAGCAUGCGAAGGAGGAUUUAGCAGUAAGUUAAGGGAACAGAGCGCCCUUCUGAAAUCGGCCCUAAAGCGCGCACACACCGCCCGUCACUCUCCCCCACAACCCUGCCUCAUAUAAAUAAAAUGUAAAGGACACCUUUAGGGGAGGCAAGUCGUAA